AUGGAAUUGUUAAACUUGAAAGUUGAAACCCAUGUGCGAGGAUAUCACAUUUAUCUAGUAGAAAUUUAUCAGGGAGCAACAAACCUCGCCCUUGACGGACGCCCCAAAGACGCCUGCGCAGUGGAGCACAGGGAGGUGUGCGGGGGAUGCAGUGGAUGGAUUCCAGCUGCCACUGAAUACCUCGGCGUGGCGUCGUGCGCCGGCCGGGUCGGCAGUGGGGCGGACGCGGGCGCGGAGGAGGAUGCGCUUCCACAGCAACGCAGAGGUGUCCUGCAGGAGCUCGGUGUGUAUGAGCAAGGUGUAUGUACCCCGUCACGAGGUUCGCCGCCGACGCCGCCUCUUCCUUUCGGCGAGCUUCCGCGGGCUGGUGGAGGAGUCUGCCGCGUCUGCGGAACUCCUGGAAUCACCCCAAUCAUAGGCCUUCGCUUCUUCCCAAUCCUUGCUGUUGCGGGGGGCAGGGGGGUGAAGGAGCCAUAG
This 477-nucleotide ribosomal RNA is filed under the name Triticum aestivum (bread wheat). RNAcentral's name for it is "partial small subunit ribosomal RNA". Lineage: Eukaryota; Viridiplantae; Streptophyta; Magnoliopsida; Poales; Poaceae. The record is from RNAcentral.